RNAcentral lists this ribosomal RNA (253 nucleotides) under uncultured bacterium. RNAcentral's name for it is "partial 16S ribosomal RNA". It matches the Rfam family "Bacterial small subunit ribosomal RNA", at positions 524 to 776 of the family's 1533-position model. The record is from RNAcentral.
UACAGGGGGUGCAAGCGUUACUCGGAAUUACUGGGCGUAAAGAGCGUGUAGGCGGCUUAACAAGUCCGAUGUGAAAUCCCUGGGCUCAAUCCAGGAAGUGCAUUGGAUACUGUUUAGCUAGAGUAUAGGAGAGGUGAGUGGAAUUCCCGGUGUAGAGGUGAAAUUCGUAGAUAUCGGGAGGAACAACAGAAGCGAAGGCGACUCACUGGACUAUUACUGACGCUAAGGCGCGAAAGCGUGGGGAGCAAACAGG